UACGGAGGUGGCAAGCGUUGCUCGGAAUCACUGGGCGUAAAGGGCGCGUAGGCGGGGAGGUAAGUCGGGUGUGAAAUCCCUCGGCCCAACCGAGGAACUGCGCCCGAGACUGCUUCUCUUGAGUCCCGGAGAGGAAGGUGGAAUUCCCGGUGUAGCGGUGAAAUGUGUAGAGAUCGGGAGGAACACCGGUGGCGAAGGCGGCCUUCUGGACGGUGACUGACGCUGAGGCGCGAAAGCGUGGGGAGCAAACAGG
RNAcentral lists this ribosomal RNA (253 nucleotides) under uncultured bacterium. RNAcentral describes it as "partial 16S ribosomal RNA". It matches the Rfam family "Bacterial small subunit ribosomal RNA", at positions 524 to 776 of the family's 1533-position model. The record is from RNAcentral.